This 1453-nucleotide ribosomal RNA is filed under the name human gut metagenome. Its description in RNAcentral is "bacterial LSU rRNA". It matches the Rfam family "Bacterial large subunit ribosomal RNA", at positions 444 to 1989 of the family's 2925-position model. The record is from RNAcentral.
AUGGGGGGACCACCCUCCAACCCUAAAUACUACCCAGUGACCGAUAGCGUAUAGUACUGUGAAGGAAAGGUGAAAAGCACCCCGGGAGGGGAGUGAAAAAGAACCUGAAACCCUGUGCCUACAAGCACCUAGAGCACGUCAAUGUGUGAUAGGGUACUUUUUGUAGAACGGUCCGGCGAGCGAUUGUAUGCAGCAAGGUUAAGGACUUAAGGUCUGGAGCCGAAGCGAAAGCGAGUUUGAAAAGGGCGUUAAGUUGCAUACAAUGGGCCCGAAACCGGGUGACCUACCCAUGGUCAGGUUGAAGUGGAAGUAAAAUUCCAUGGAGGACCGAACCGACCUCCGUUGAAAAGGCGGCGGAUGAACUGUGGGUAGCGGAGAAAUUCCAAUCGAACCCGGAGAUAGCUGGUUCUCCCCGAAAUAGUUUUAGGACUAGCCUCAAGUUAGAUACCUGGAGGUAAAGCACUGAAUAGCCUAGCGGCCGAGAGGUUAGCGAAGCUUAUCAAACUCAGAAUGCCAGAGUAUUGAUGCUUGGGAGUCAGACAGUGUCAGAUAAAUGUCAUUGUCAAAAGGGAAACAGCCCAGAUCUACAGCUAAGGUCCCAAAGUCAGGUUAAGUGGAAAACGAUGUGAAGAUACGCAGACAACCAGGAUGUUGGCUCAGAAGCAGCCACUCAUUCAAAGAGUGCGUAAUAGCUCACUGGUCGAGCGUCUUUGCGCGGAGAAUUUAACGGGGCUAAACCUGACACCGAAGCUUAGGCAAUCCAGUAAUGGAUUGGGUAGGGGAGCGUUGUAUACGCGGAGAAACAGUAGCGUAAGCGGCUGUGGAGUGUAUAGAAGUGAGAAUGCCGGAAUGAGUAGCGCGAAUGCAGUGAGAAUCUGCAUGGCCGAAAGCCUCAGGUUUUUGGAGGAAGGUUCGUCCGCUCCAAGUUAGUCGGGAGCUAAGGUGAGGCCGAAAGGCGUAGCCGAUGCACAGACGGUAGAGAUUCCGUCACCACCAAAAGAGUUAAGCACAGGGACACAUUUGAAGUCUCAGAGCCGGGUGUUGGUUCCGGUAGAGAUCGAGGGAAGUUAGUACCGAAGUCUGAGAUGGAAGAUGGCGAGAAAAGCUGUGUGUAUUUCUGAGGUGCCCGUACCGCAAACCGACACAGGUAGGUAGGAAGAAGAUUCUAAGGCCAACGGGAGAAGGGUUGUUAAGGAACUCGGCAAAUUGACCCCGUAACUUCGGGAGAAGGGGUGCUCCAGAGAUGGAGCCGCAGAGAAUCGGCCCAAGCAACUGUUUACCAAAAACACAGGUUUGUGCUAAAUCGAAAGAUGACGUAUACGAGCUGACGCCUGCCCGGUGCUGGAAGGUUAAGAGGAGAUGUGCAAGCAUUGAAUCGAAGCCCCAGUGAACGGCGGCCGUAACUAUAACGGUCCUAAGGUAGCGAAAUUCCUUGUCAGGUAAGUUCUGACCC